UUCCGGUUGAUCCUGCCGGAGGCUACCGCUAUUGGAGUUCGAUUAAGCCAUGCGAGUCGAGAGUCCUCGGGACUCGGCGUACCGCUCAGUAACACGUGGGUAACCUGCCCUAUGCUGGGGAAUAACCUCGGGAAACUGAGAAUAAUGCCCCAUAGCCCACUACGCCUGGAACGGUGAGUGGGUCAAAGCCCCGGCGGCAUAGGAUGGGCCUGCGCCGUAUCAGGUUGUAGGGGGUGUAAAGUACCCUCUAGCCAUCAACGCGUACGGGUGUUGGGAGACAUUGCCCGGAGAUGGAUUCUGAGACACGAAUCCAGGUCCUACGGGACGCAGCAGUCGCGAAACCUUGACAAUGCGGGAAACCGUGAUCAGGGGACUCCAAGUGCCAGGAGUAAGAUCCUGUGCUUUUCUUUUCUCUUCAAAGGAUUUGGAAUAAGAGGUGGGUAAGGACGGUGCCAGCCGCCGCGGUAAUACCGGCGCCUCAAGUGGUAGUCGCUUUUAUUGGGCCUAAAACGUCCGUAGCCGGUCUGGUGCAUUCGUGGGUAAAUCAACCCGCUCAACGGGUUGAAUUCUGCGAGCACGGCCAGACUUGGGACCGGGAGAGGUGUGGGGUACUCUCAGGGUAGGGGUAAAAUCCUGUCAUCCUGAGAGGACCACCUGUUGCGAAGGCGCCACACUAGAACGGAUCCGACGGUCAGGGACGAAACCUAGGGGCACGAACCGGAUUAGAUACCCGGGUAGUCCUAGGUGUAAACGCUGUGGACUUGAUGUUGGGGGCGCUCCGAGCGCUUUCAGUGUCGAAGCGAAGGUGAUAAGUCCACUGCCUGGGGAGUACGGUCGCAAGGCUGAAACUUAAAGGAAUUGGCGGGGGAGCACUGCAACCGGAGGAGUGUGCGGUUUAAUUGGAUUCAACGCCGGG
RNAcentral lists this ribosomal RNA (916 nucleotides) under uncultured archaeon. RNAcentral describes it as "bacterial SSU rRNA". It matches the Rfam family "Archaeal small subunit ribosomal RNA", at positions 1 to 922 of the family's 1478-position model. The record is from RNAcentral.